GUCCUGAGCCAUGGCGUGCUGCCUGUCGGAAGAGGCGAAAGAGCAAAAGCGUAUCAACCAGGAAAUCGAGAGGCAACUGAGAAGGGACAAACGAGAUGCCAGGAGAGAACUCAAGCUUUUACUACUCGGUACUGGUGAAUCGGGCAAAUCCACGUUCAUCAAACAGAUGAGAAUUAUUCACGGUUCCGGUUAUUCGGACGAAGAUAAGAGAGGAUUUAUCAAGCUUGUCUACCAAAACAUAUUCAUGGCGAUGCAGUCGAUGAUCCGGGCGAUGGAACUACUCAAGAUCGAAUACGGAGAAUCAUCGAAUAUAGAAAAAGCGGAACUCGUGAGAGCAGUCGACUUUGAAACGGUCACAACAUUCGAAAGUCCAUACGUCGAAGCGAUCAAGGACUUGUGGAAUGACAGCGGAAUUCAAGAGUGUUAUGAUCGCAGACGAGAGUAUCAACUAACAGACUCUGCUAAGUAUUAUCUUAGUGACCUAGAACGUAUUGAAAAGCCUGAUUUUCUUCCUACCGAGCAAGAUAUUCUUCGGGCUCGAGCUCCCACUACCGGCAUUAUAGAAUAUCCAUUUGAUCUGGACUCCAUCAUAUUUAGGAUGGUAGAUGUAGGCGGACAGAGAUCGGAAAGAAGAAAAUGGAUUCAUUGUUUUGAGAACGUUACUUCCAUUAUAUUUUUAGUAGCUUUAAGUGAAUACGAUCAAAUUUUAUUCGAAUCGGAAAACGAGAAUCGAAUGGAAGAAAGUAAGGCGCUUUUCAAAACGAUUAUAACAUAUCCCUGGUUUCAACAUUCUUCCGUUAUUUUGUUCCUAAAUAAAAAAGAUCUACUCGAGGAGAAAAUAAUGUAUUCUCAUCUGGUGGAUUAUUUUCCUGAAUAUGAUGGCCCAAAGCAACAAGAUGUACCGGCCAGGGAAUUCAUCUUAAAGGUCUAUCUCAAUUCGAAUCCUGAUCCUGACCGCAUGUGCUACUCUCACUUCACGUGUGCGACAGAUACGGAAAAUAUCAAGCUUGUGUUCUGUGCCGUAAAGGAUACGAUUAUGCAGACUGCUCUUAAGGAAUUUAAUCUUGCCUAAUUACGACCUUAUGGACGAAUUUUUUCAAUUACGUUUUAUUAUAUAUAUAUAUACACACACACACACGCGUACAUGAUGUGUUAUAGGUGAUUUUUUGUCUACAUAUGUUAAAAUUGCUUCUACUACUCAAACAUGCGUUCACAUUUUUUACAUUAUGUUUAUCUUAUUAUCAUGCGAACACAUUAAUAUAUUAUAGAUCCAAAUAAUAGAUUGAACUUAUGUAUUUGUUUUUAAAUGCUAUAAGAAUGCCAAUCUCCAUAUUCCUUUUUCAAUAACGUAUACGAUUACAACGUUUUUUCCUUUUAAUAUUAAUUAUUAUUCUUCUGGUUGAGGGUUAUUUAUUGCAUGUAUACAAACACAAUAAUAUUUCUCAUUAUUUGUAACAUUUCCAAAUACUUUUCUAUUAUUUGUUUAUACUUUCGUUUGAAAAUAAAUUAACCGACGGAUUUGGCAAUUUGUGCAUGCGAGCAAACGCAUUUUCUGAACAUACGAUAUAUAUUAUUAUGUGAUACUUGGGCUUUUAUUAUAACGAAGAAAUGUUCCGAGUUGCAUGUGCUCUAACUACAUUUUAUUUCUGUGAUACGGAGAACAUCAGAUUUGUAUUUGCAGCGGUGAAGGAUACUAUCUUGCAAUCUAAUCUAAAGGAAUAUAAUCUGGUCUAGAUGAAAGGAUUUGGAUAUUGGUGUGAAGUCAACUAUUACUUUAUCAUCUUAACCAAAGUAUUGCAGUGUAGACAUUGUUUAAAUGAUACAAA
This 1826-nucleotide unclassified non-coding RNA is filed under the name Polistes fuscatus (common paper wasp). RNAcentral describes it as "guanine nucleotide-binding protein G(q) subunit alpha, transcript variant X9". The record is from RNAcentral. Lineage: Eukaryota; Metazoa; Arthropoda; Insecta; Hymenoptera; Vespidae.